Molecule: long non-coding RNA, 853 nt
Organism: Magallana angulata
Lineage: Eukaryota; Metazoa; Mollusca; Bivalvia; Ostreida; Ostreidae
Exons: 3
Source: RefSeq, a predicted model, not a curated record
AAGUCCUUUUCCUGAUUUUCACCUCCGAGUCUCCGUGAAUUCUAACCACGUGGUUCACAGCAUCAUCAAAAAUGUCUGAUCCAACAGUACAGUAACCACAGAAGUACGUGUACUCAUCACUUGGCCUGGAAAUAAUGUACAUAAGGAAUAGAGAAUCAUUUCACAGCAUUUCGAAGGAAAGUCAACCUUAAAUUUAUAUUAUAUAUAAAUCUAUAUUUUGCGUUCUGAAACUUUUCAUUCUGAUCAGAAAUCACUGAACAUUUUGUUUUGGUUCAUUUUAGAUGCAAAAAGUGACAUUUUGUUAGUUAAUCAGAGCAAGAAGGUUUGAUCGAAUUUCAGUAAAAAGGCGCCAGAUUAAAGACAAUAGUGUAAACAGACUGCACUAUAGAAGAUGAUAGAAUGCAAGUAUAUUUAUCAAAUCUGAUCAAAUUAUCAUUGGAAAGUAAGAGCAUGAUAGAGAAUUGUCAAGAAUAAAGUCAGAUUAUGAAAUGUAUACCAACGUCGAUACAAAUGUAUAUGAAAUGUUUGCGCGCUUAAUAUGUGCAAUAUUGUUAAAAAUGCAAUGUCUUAUUAAAAUUGUCAUGGAAAACAAAGAUUUACGUCAGUAAAUUUCUUUGGCAAUAGGCAUUUAUGGAGUCCACAUUGAAAUCCAUAUUACAUUGUAAAUCCAAUAUUAGUAUUCCAUAUAAACUUUUAAAUAAUUAUUAUGAUUAAAAUGUUAUAGAUAUUCAUAGUCAGCAUACUUUCUUUAAAUAUUUUGGGUAAACUUUUGAUUUCUUUUUCAAACUUUUUCACAUGUGUUGGUAAGGUCACCAGGAAAAUGAAAUAAUCACUGCACAUGUAUAGUACUUCA